RNAcentral lists this long non-coding RNA (214 nucleotides) under Prunus persica (peach). Its description in RNAcentral is "long non-coding RNA (PPER_LNC007024)". The record is from RNAcentral. Lineage: Eukaryota; Viridiplantae; Streptophyta; Magnoliopsida; Rosales; Rosaceae.
GGGGAACAUCAUAGUAUUGUAGGAGGACUCAUUUUGUGAGUUUUGAGUGAAAUCCAAUUGCCAAAACUAUGCAAUACACCAACCACUCCAUUUCAGAACUAGCUUCGUACGAACCUUAUAUCAGAUUCAAUCCAGAACUCGGGGAAAAUCAUAAUUUAUUGUUGGAGGGGUCAUUUGAUGGAUUUUGAGAGAAAUCCAAUCUCCAGAACUACAC